AGCAGCAGCCGCGGGAAUACGUAGGUGGCGAGCGUUGUCCGGAAUUAUUGGGCGUAAAGGGAGCGCAGGCGGACAUAUAAGUCCAUCUUAAAAGUGCGGGGCUCAACCCCGUGAGGGGAUGGAAACUGUAUGCCUUGAGUGCAGGAGAGGAAAGCGGAAUUCCCAGUGUAGCGGUGAAAUGCGUAGAUAUUGGGAGGAACACCAGUGGCGAAGGCGGCUUUCUGGACUGUAACUGACGCUGAGGCUCGAAAGCCAGGGGAGCGAACGGGAUUAGAGACCCCAGUAGUCCCUGUCUCUUAUACA
Molecule: ribosomal RNA, 303 nt
Filed under: uncultured bacterium
Lineage: Bacteria
Description: partial 16S ribosomal RNA
Rfam family: Bacterial small subunit ribosomal RNA
Source: RNAcentral